UACGUAGGGUGCAAGCGUUGUCCGGAUUUAUUGGGCGUAAAGAGCUCGUAGGCGGUCUGUCGCGUCGAAUGUGAAAACCCGGGGCUCAACCCCGGGCCUGCAUUCGAUACGGGCAGACUAGAGUUCGGUAGGGGAGACUGGAAUUCCUGGUGUAGCGGUGAAAAUGCGCAGAUAUCAGGAGGAACACCGGUGGCGAAGGCGGGUCUCUGGGCCGAUACUGACGCUGAGGAGCGAAAGCGUGGGGAGCGAACAGG
Molecule: ribosomal RNA, 254 nt
Filed under: uncultured bacterium
Lineage: Bacteria
Description: partial 16S ribosomal RNA
Rfam family: Bacterial small subunit ribosomal RNA
Source: RNAcentral